This 66-nucleotide transfer RNA is filed under the name Potamilus alatus. RNAcentral describes it as "tRNA-Ser". It matches the Rfam family "tRNA". Rfam says of the family: Transfer RNA (tRNA) molecules are approximately 80 nucleotides in length. Their secondary structure includes four short double-helical elements and three loops (D, anti-codon, and T loops). The record is from RNAcentral. Lineage: Eukaryota; Metazoa; Mollusca; Bivalvia; Unionida; Unionidae.
AGAAGAUUAAAGGAACACAUCUGCCUUGAAAACAGAAAACAGGACGUUCAACUCGUCCAUCUUCUC